AGUGAACGCUGGCGGCGUGCCUAACACAUGCAAGUCGAGCGGCUCCGAGGGGCAACCCUCGGGGUAGCGGCGAACGGGUGAGUAACACGUGGGUAAUCUCCCCUCGAGUGAGGAAUAAGCCCUCGAAAGGGGGUCUAAUACCGCAUGACACUCCGGGAUGUAUGUCUUCGGAGUCAAAGCCGAAAGGCGCUUGAGGAUGAGCCUGCGUCCUAUUAGCUAGUUGGUAGGGUAAUGGCCUACCAAGGUUAUGAUGGGUAGCCGGCCUGAGAGGGUGUACGGCCACACUGGGACUGAGACACGGCCCAGACUCCUACGGGAGGCUG
Molecule: ribosomal RNA, 323 nt
Filed under: uncultured bacterium
Lineage: Bacteria
Description: bacterial SSU rRNA
Rfam family: Bacterial small subunit ribosomal RNA
Source: RNAcentral